GGGUACCGUCAGGCCUGACGUGUAUUAUACGUUAGGAGGUUCUUCCCCUCUGACAGAGCUUUACGACCCAAGAGCCUUCAUCACUCACGCGGUAUUGCUGCGUCAGGCUUUCGCCCAUUGCGCAAAAUUCCCC
Molecule: ribosomal RNA, 133 nt
Filed under: uncultured bacterium
Lineage: Bacteria
Description: partial 16S ribosomal RNA
Source: RNAcentral